GUGUUUUCAUGCAAAGAUUUGUGCUUUUGGUUUCUAGUUGGAUUCACUAUUUGCUGGAUGACUGAUGCUGUUUCUAUAGUUAAAUAAUGGAAUACUUAGAUCUAGGCUUAGAUUAGAUGUUAUUUACUUGUAUCUGUCUAUUGUCGAUGUCGCAUAUAUGGUUUUCACCUUUUACUUUUGCUCAGCUCUUGAGGCUUGCCUUUUGCACUUCUUUCUUCAAAAAAAGGAUGAUAAAAGCUUGCAUAUUUUUCCCUGCUUAGAAGGGUAACAUGAAGUUUAAUGGUUUGAAUAAUAUUAUGAUGUAGUAGGUGUGGAUAAGUGAUCAUUAGCUGCUAGUCAUUGCAGAUAGUUAGAAGUUCACUUCUCUUUUUUGGUGUUUAUCUUUAGUUAGUAGUUCACUUAUUUUUUUGGUGUUUAUCUUUUAGAUCACUAAGAGAUGGAACAUUUUUUAACCCAAAAUUACAGCCCCACCUAAUCUUGGCUCUUUUUGGUGCUUGUUGUCACCAUCAUUGAAUGCCCCAAUUUUGAGAGUUGAGACAAAGCAAUUUGCAUCUUGAGAAACAAGAGCUCUGUUUGUUCCUCUGUUAGGCAAUGCAACAAGUUCAUAUAUACAAUGUCUUCCUCAAAAAUGCAAUUGUCUUUGUCCCACAAAGCAGUCCACUCCAAUCAUUUGAGGAAUUCAUUAUUAUCACUAUUGACAUAGUUGUGUGCUUGACAAACUAAGUUUAAAAUGAAAAGAAGAAAGAUGAUGAUAUGAGUAUUGCUAGGUGAUUAACUCAUUUGGGAAUGCAAGGAGCUAUGGUUCAAUGGCUUCUAGAGACGGCUUCGUCAGUGAUGUUGGUUGUAUGUGGUUUAUUCAGUCUUGGUAGAAAAUUUUGAUAGGCAAUAAAUAGUCUGUUUACUUGCUUUCUACCAGUAGUUGGACAUAGUAGACAAAGCAUUUUAGAUCUUGAGAAAGAGGAAGUCUGUUUGUUCUCCUCUGGUAGGCACCAUAACAAGCUUUUACAAUUUCUCUUACAAAUGCAAAUGUAGUUGUGCUGCUCAAAGCAAUCCUUUUAUUGGGGAAUUUCUAUUGUUCAUUAUUGACGAAGGUACACACUUGAAAAUUAACCCAUUUCAAAAUAAAGAAGAAAUAACAUGAUAUAAGCACCACCAAGUACUUAAAAAAUUUGGGGACGUAAUGACCUAUAGCUCAGUAACUGCUAGAAGAGGUCCAGCAAUGUUGUUUGUCCAGCAAUCUUGGUUGUAUGUUUGUUGUUUGGUUUGAGUGACUUUUGGUUAGGAAUUAGGACAUUAUUAAUUUUCAAUUAUGAGUGUAUCUUAAUUAGUUGGAGUAGACAAUAUCAUUGGCAGACGAUGACUAGGCUAUUUACUUGCUUUCUUUUGCUUCUUAACCACUGUAUGGGAAAUAUUCUAGUAUCAUUUACAGGUAGGUGCUACUAAUUUCAGUUCUGAUCGCAGCAUCUCUAAUUCUGAAGACGCAUGUUUUCUAUAAGUUAGGCUAGUGAUGCCAUCAGUGUAAUUUCUUUGUUAUCAUAAACAUGUGUAACUAAACAAAAAUCUGACCUUUUGUGUUGAUCAAUAAAGUAAAAACUGUGGGCCUGGGUGGAUGAUCAUGUUGUUUAUUUUCCCUAGGAUAUAUUAAUUUCUUUUUACCAGUAUUGAAGGGGUGGGCAUGCGGAGAUUUGUCUAGUCUGUAGUCAUCUUGGAGCUUCGGUCUCUGUCAUGUUCUCACCAGAACAUUUCACCUCCUAGAGUGUCGCUCAACUUAUUCAAUACAUAUUGCAUGUUUCUUGUGAUCCUCAAUGAGCAUUCUCUCAGGAUUAGUGAUAACCUCUGUAACAAAUAUAGAUAUGGCUACUUCAGCAUCUGCUCAGAAUGUUACUUAGGCAGUCAAAUGCCCAUGAUGAGUGCAAUCUUAGUCUGUUCUCUAUUUUUUUUGCUGUCAGGCUUUAGCCUUUAGAUGUCUGUUUAUUUUCUUACAUGAUCUGGAAUGGACCAUAUGCAUUGUGUUGUCUUUUUAAUUCUUCAUGUUUCAAAAUGUCACGUCUAUUUUUGUUUAAUUCCCUUGUAAAAGGGCGAUUGCUUUCAAAUUCCAUCCUUAUAGAUAACAUUUUGUUAUUUAAGGGGAAAUGGAUUACAAGUUUGUUUCAUCUCUUAAAUGAAAUUUCAGUUAUGUUCUUUUUCUUAUUUAUUCCUUUCUGCUAUGCACAGGUUCAUCUGUAACCCGCGAGACA
Molecule: unclassified non-coding RNA, 2237 nt
Filed under: Hevea brasiliensis (rubber tree)
Lineage: Eukaryota; Viridiplantae; Streptophyta; Magnoliopsida; Malpighiales; Euphorbiaceae
Source: RNAcentral